UAACUGGUUGAAUUCUGCAGAGACUGCCAGACUAGGGACCGGGAGAGGUCUGGGGUACUCUCGGGGUAGGGGUAAAAUCCUGUCAUCCUGGGAGGACCACCAGUCGCGAAGGCGCCACACUGGAACGGAUCCGACGGUCAGGGACGAAGCCUAGGGGCACGAACCGGAUUAGAUACCCGGGUAGUCCUAGGAGUAAACGCUGUGAACUUGGUGUCGGGGAUCCUACUUGGGUUCCCGGUGCCGGAGUGAAGAUGUUAAGUUCACUGCCUGGGGAGUACGGUCGCAAGGCUGAAACUCAAAUGAAUUGACGG
Molecule: ribosomal RNA, 311 nt
Filed under: uncultured euryarchaeote
Lineage: Archaea; Methanobacteriati; Methanobacteriota
Description: bacterial SSU rRNA
Rfam family: Archaeal small subunit ribosomal RNA
Source: RNAcentral